ACAACCAGGUAGUGCGUCUAAUGAGAAGCCUAAACUAUUAACCUCGGAAAGAAGAGUUGGAAUUUGCAUGCGGGGAAGAAAGUUAUGUUUUCAAUAUGAUUCGCAGUUCAAUGGCAAUUUAGAAAAGGAAAACGCGAAUUUCUUCAGACGACGCAGGGAAAUACGCAUGGAUGAACCACCAUAGAUCAAGAUUUAGCCCGUGAACUAUUCGUAUGAGGACGGGACAACCCCCUUAUGUUAGGAAAUAAUUCCGGUUUAAGGACGUGUUUGCUACGUUAGCUCAUGCGCAUUCUCAGCCCAACUUAAGUAAUGUUCGGUUUUCCCCCAGUGUCGCCUGAGGCGCAGUAAACAACUAUUAACCUGUAGAAACGCAGAAAGACCACUCUGGUCUUCUAUGAAAACAGAAUGAGAAUCUCAACCAUUGCAUAACAAAGUUGCUACGAUAUAAACGUCUACAUCUAUGGACGCUUCCGUCUCCGGAUGUCUUGUUAUAAGUUUUCGAAUGUGCUUCCCGUUUCUCGUGGAUUUAGUGAACGUAUUUCUGGAGUUGGAUUCUUUUGAACUUCCAAUUUAGAUCAUAAUCAGCUACAUCGUAACACAUGAAGAAGUAACUGAAAGGUAGGUGAUGCUGCCGAAUAUUAAUCGCUUUUGGAAAGCGGUUGUGUUCAGAUCGGAUAUUUAGAACUUCCAAGACGGGAAUAUCCCUUUUAUUUAAUGUCGUUGGAAAACAAAGGAAUAUGGAUCAACUUCGACAACCAGGACCUUCCAGAAAGAGACAUACAACAAGUCGUACCUCAGUCGUGCGCAAAGGCACCCCGAACUAUCUGCUAUGUCCACUGAGGGGAAUGAAACCCCGAUCUUAGUGUUGUACGGCCGUAAACUUACCGCUGACCCAACUGGGGGCCAUCAAAUCUUGGAAGGACAGGCCAAGGAAAGAAAGAUUUUCGAAAUUCAUUUGACUGUUAGUUAUUAUUGUUAUUUGCCUUGGAUGAAUGUGACCAAAUUAAGCUAUCAAGUGUAACCAAUAUUUCCUCACUGGCUGUGAAUACGUUUUAAAGAAGUGCUUUAUUUAAAAAAAUGAAAUAAAGUUCACGUGCCUAAAAUCACCAAUAACGGUUUUUUAUAAAACAUUUCAAAUUUAUUACUUUAAGUACUCUUUGUGAUUAAGGAAACAUAAGUCUGUGAGAUCAAUAAAAGCUAUUACAAACACAAAGUAAGUUUUCGGAUAACCCUAAAAUGAUCGACAAUGUAAUGUUAAACAUUUGGAAAUUAUAAGAUCGUAUUUCAUUUUCACUAGGUAGAGAGAGUCAAAUGCGGAAG
This is a long non-coding RNA of Limulus polyphemus (Atlantic horseshoe crab), 1320 nucleotides long. RefSeq lists it as uncharacterized. NCBI's taxonomy places the organism in Eukaryota, Metazoa, Arthropoda, Merostomata, Xiphosura, Limulidae. The record is from RefSeq and is a predicted model, not a curated record. The transcript has 3 exons.